UUUUCCAAAGGUUGACCUCGGAUCAGGUAGGAAUACCCGCUGAACUUAAGCAUAUCAAUAAGCGGAGGAAAAGAAACCAACAGGGAUUGCCUCAGUAACGGCGAGUGAAGCGGCAACAGCUCAAAUUUGAAAUCUGGCCCUAGGCCCGAGUUGUAAUUUGCAGAGGAUGCUUUUGGUGCGGUGCCUUCCAAGUUCCCUAGAACGGGACGCCAGAGAGGGUGAGAGCCCCGUACAGUUGGACACCAAGCCUUUGUAAAGCUCCUUCGACGAGUCGAGUAGUUUGGGAAUGCUGCUCAAAAUGGGAGGUAUAUUUCUUCUAAAGCUAAAUACCGGCCAGAGACCGAUAGCGCACAAGUAGAGUGAUCGAAAGAUGAAAAGCACUUUGAAAAGAGGGUUAAACAGCACGUGAAAUUGUUAAAAGGGAAGCGCUUGUGACCAGACUUGCGUCCGGUGAAUCACCCAGCUCUCGCGGCUGGGGCACUUCGCCGGCUCAGGCCAGCAUCAGCUCGCUGUCGGGGACAAAAGCUUCAGGAACGUAGCUCUCUUCGGGGAGUGUUAUAGCCUGUUGCAUAAUACCCUUCGGCGGGCUGAGGUACGCGCUCCGCAAGGAUGCUGGCAUAAUGGUCAUCAGCGACCCGUCUUGAAACACGGACCAAGGAGUCAACCUUAUGUGCGAGUGUUCGGGUGUCAAACCCCUACGCGUAAUGAAAGUGAACGCAGGUGAGAGCUUCGGCGCAUCAUCGACCGAUCCUGAUGUUCUCGGAUGGAUUUGAGUAAGAGCAUAUAGGGUUGGACCCGAAAGAAGGUGAACUAUGCGUGUAUAGGGUGAAGCCAGAGGAAACUCUGGUGGAGGCUCGCAGCGGUUCUGACGUGCAAAUCGAUCGUCAAAUAUGCGCAUGGGGG
RNAcentral lists this ribosomal RNA (903 nucleotides) under Colletotrichum gloeosporioides. RNAcentral describes it as "eukaryotic LSU rRNA". It matches the Rfam family "Eukaryotic large subunit ribosomal RNA", at positions 1 to 923 of the family's 3401-position model. Lineage: Eukaryota; Fungi; Ascomycota; Sordariomycetes; Glomerellales; Glomerellaceae. The record is from RNAcentral.